GCUCAUAACUAGAUUAUAAGUUUAUUUAUUUAAAUACGAGAAAGAUUUCAAAGCUCCAAAUGGCUUUAAGCGGUCAAGUGGACUUUAAAAAAAGUUGUACCCAUAGCCAACGGCAUUCUACUUGUCCUGUGUUUUAGUUUGGUUCCAAAACUGUCGAAAUAUCUCGCAACGCACUGCCUUCGUUGAGUCAGCUGGAAGAGCUAGUAAGCUUUUUGGAAAGCAAACCAUGUUUGAUUAUGAUGGGCCAUGCUCGUACUGCGAAUGCGAGCAUGCAUGCAUGAUCCGUAAACAACAGCCCUAAACAGUGAAGUAGUGGGUGUAUGAAAAUAUUGGAGCAGUGGUGUAAGUACUGGAAGGACAAAAAGGAGCAGUUCAGAGGAAGUCCAGUUCUAUUGCAGCUGCGAGCCAACAUGAAUUUGCCAGAACUCGGUGUAAUCAAGUUAAAAAUACAUUCUAUUAUGCAAGGAGAAUGUUUUGGAAUCUGAAUUUAAAAAUAAAUGCAUAUUCAUUAUAAAAUACAAAAUAAUAAAAAGACAUGAUGAAUUAAAA
This 549-nucleotide long non-coding RNA is filed under the name Helicoverpa zea (corn earworm). RNAcentral describes it as "uncharacterized LOC124646323". The record is from RNAcentral. Lineage: Eukaryota; Metazoa; Arthropoda; Insecta; Lepidoptera; Noctuidae.